UGGGCAAAUGCCGGAGGAACUACAGCCUCUUAAGCUCGUGGUCGCGGGUUCGAGUCCCGCCUCUGCCACUCGACGGCAGGGUAGCUCAGCGGUAGAGCACGAAAACGUUUCUCCAACCCUGGUUGCCUGCAC
This is a small RNA of Cardiobacterium hominis ATCC 15826, 132 nucleotides long. It matches the Rfam family "Y RNA-like". From Rfam's summary of the family: In Deinococcus radiodurans Rsr is tethered via Y RNA to the exoribonuclease PNPase and channels single-stranded RNA into the PNPase cavity. Rsr and Y RNA enhance degradation of structured RNAs by PNPase. This role could be conserved, as Rsr and ncRNAs called YrlA and YrlB (Y RNA like) also associate with PNPase in an evolutionary distant bacterium Salmonella Typhimurium. The record is from Rfam. NCBI's taxonomy places the organism in Bacteria, Pseudomonadati, Pseudomonadota, Gammaproteobacteria, Cardiobacteriales, Cardiobacteriaceae.